AUGUUUCAGAUUCAUCACUGCCGCUUUCCGUUUUACUCUUUUUCUGAAGUAAAUAGCUUCAUUCUUAUGCUUCACAAUUUCCAGUGGGAAAAAUCACAUUUCAUAUUUCCAACGCUAUAUUGUAUCACAAUGAACAGAGUGAAGAGAAUGACCAUCCAGAGUACAUCAUCCACGGUGAGCACAUGCCUUAUUUCUCACAGGAUCAUAAUCUACCAUGUAUCACCAUACUUCUUUAUCGACUGCCUUCAACUAUUCACUACACCUGCUAGAUCAACAUUUAUUUCCUUUGCUUCUCAUUGCUCUCUUCUACUUUUGCUUAUCCAAUGUUUCUUUUCUUUUGUACUGUUUACUUUCAACAUGUAA
RNAcentral lists this ribosomal RNA (363 nucleotides) under Triticum aestivum (bread wheat). Its description in RNAcentral is "partial small subunit ribosomal RNA". The record is from RNAcentral. Lineage: Eukaryota; Viridiplantae; Streptophyta; Magnoliopsida; Poales; Poaceae.